GUGCUCGCUUCAGCAGCACAUGUGCUAGGACUGGGAUGAUACAGGGAAGGCUAGCACAGCCUCUGUGUAAGGACGACACACGGGUUGGUGAAGCAUUCCAUAGUUUU
RNAcentral lists this small nuclear RNA (107 nucleotides) under Castor canadensis (American beaver). Lineage: Eukaryota; Metazoa; Chordata; Mammalia; Rodentia; Castoridae. The record is from RNAcentral.